Molecule: unclassified non-coding RNA, 1283 nt
Filed under: Bombus terrestris (buff-tailed bumblebee)
Lineage: Eukaryota; Metazoa; Arthropoda; Insecta; Hymenoptera; Apidae
Description: misc RNA ENSBTSG00005034165.1
Source: RNAcentral
UAAUCGAAAUGGUUCAUUUCUACGAUUAUUAUGUGGCCCAUUUGAAUACAAUCCUAAUCGAUACCAAUCUCUGACAUAACUACGUUCCGAUAAUCGUUCUAAGGUUUUAGCAUCAGUUGGUGGUUGAGUUACAAUACCAGGAAUUUCAAAAUCAUCUACUGUAAGGAUAAUAUAUGUAAAUAGACUGAGAAUUAUUGGAAUAUCAGAAAUAUUAAACAUUUAACUUACCACUAAGAUCAUCAUCAUGACUUAAAUCAUUAUUAUCUGUAACUGGUAAACUCAUUCGACCAGGUGAUGUCAUGUACUUAUUAUUAGUAAUCAUGUUCAUAUUUGGCAAGACGUAUUUUUGUCUUUUAGAUGACUGCUUUGGUUUAAAACCGGCUUUACGUGCAGUCUUUAAAAGUGUUUUCUUAGCAAACCCUCUAAAAAAAAAUCAUUUUAUUGUGAUAAAUGGUGUAACUUCUUCAUCGAAGGCUAACUUUAUCAAUUGAAAAGUACAUGAUCGCAAUUGGAGACCUUCUUGUAAACAUUGAUCUAAAUGUGCUAAAUGUUGCACUGCAACUCGUUUCUCUUUAGUUAAAGAUGUUACAGGAAAAGCACGCACUACUAAUUGUUCGCAAGCAAAUGGAUCACAAGGUUUUGGAUGAAUUCUUAUUAAUGUCAGGCAGCUCCUAUAUCCUUGUAAUAAUUGAGCAAAAGUUCUCAUAAAAACUGCUCGUAAUUCUUUAUCUAACAUAGGAGAGUGAGGAGCUCUUGUAGCAAGUGGUGGAAAAGCAUAAUCUGCACAAGCUAAUUCUGGUUGUAAUACUAAAGAUAAUGCAUCUUGUGUUUGUGAUAGAAGUGGUUCUGGAAGUAAUGGAAGUGCUACUCCAUCUGGAACCAUAAUAGAACCUCCAUCCAAGUCAGCGACUAUUACAUCCAUCUGCAAAAGAAUUUAACAUUUAAUAAAAAAUCGUUAUAAUAAAAUAAAGCAUAUUAUAUAAUUCUAUUGAACAUCUUACAAGUUCUGCAACUUCAUGUUUCAAUGAACUAUGUACACCCAUGAUAAAUGGAGUAGGUGUACUGAGUACUUCAACUAAAGCUGCUGGUAGAAGAGGAAUGUAAACAUGCGUGUAUCUAAAUGGAUACAUUAGUGCAGUAAGCGCACGACAUCCUUCAGUUAAUCGUGAAUAACUUGCAGAAUGAAAAAGUAUUUUAUGUUCUGUCAUAACAGCACAGAACAAUACUAGUACAUUACGAAUUCCUAUAAAAUAUAAAUAUAUUUUAAUAAAAAGUAUAAACAA